Molecule: ribosomal RNA, 279 nt
Filed under: Triticum aestivum (bread wheat)
Lineage: Eukaryota; Viridiplantae; Streptophyta; Magnoliopsida; Poales; Poaceae
Description: partial small subunit ribosomal RNA
Source: RNAcentral
AUGAGGUGUUUGAGCUGGAACUGCCGGGGGCUUGGGAACCCCGACGCAGUUCGAGAUCUUCACACUGUGGUGAAGCAAGAAGGGCCCGAUCUGGUUUUUGUUAUGGAGACAAAGAUCAGAGGCAAACGAGUGGAGGAUUUGCGGCAUACCUUAGGGUUUGCAGGUAGUUUUGCAGUGGACAGUGACGGCCUAAGUGGUGGUGUGGGGCUGUUCUGGUCUAAAGAAGUGGAUGUGGAACUUAAGUCGUAUAGCAAAAGUCAUAUUGAUGUGUUGGUCUGA